UACGUAGGGGGCAAGCGUUGUCCGGAAUCAUUGGGCGUAAAGAGCGUGUAGGCGGCCCGAUAAGUCCGCUGUGAAAGUCCAGGGCUCAACCCUGGAAUGCCAGUGGAAACUGUCGGGCUAGAGUCCGGAAGAGGCGAGUGGAAUUCCUGGUGUAGCGGUGAAAUGCGCAGAUAUCAGGAGGAACACCAAUGGCGAAGGCAGCUCACUGGGACGAUACUGACGCUGAGACGCGAAAGCGUGGGGAGCAAACAGG
Molecule: ribosomal RNA, 253 nt
Filed under: uncultured bacterium
Lineage: Bacteria
Description: partial 16S ribosomal RNA
Rfam family: Bacterial small subunit ribosomal RNA
Source: RNAcentral